GCUGCCGGGAGACGGAGCCAAGAACCAUAAGCGUGGGCUUCAUGGGCGCUGGCCAGCUGGCCUGUGUGCUGGCUCGAGGCUGCACGGCCACAGGCAUCCUGUCAGCUCACAAAAUAAUGGCCAGCUGCCCGGAAAUGGACCUGCCCAUGGUGUCCACCCUCAGGAAGGUGGUGUGAAUCUGACUCCAAGCAAUAAGGAGACAGUGAGGCACAGUGACGUCCUUUUCCUGGCUAUGAAGCCACAUGUCCCCUUCAUCCUGGAUGAGACUGGGGCUGACAGGCAAGCCAGACACAUUGUGGUCUCCUGUGCGGCUGAUAUCACCAUCAGCUCUGUGGAAAAGAAGCUGAUGGUAUUCCAGUCAGCCCCCAAAGUGAUUCGCUGUAUUACCAACACGCUUGUGGUUGUGCGGGAGGGUGCCACAGUGUAUUCCAUGGGUACCUAUGCCCUGGUGGAGGAUGGGCAGCGUGGGCUUUUGCAGCAAGGUGGAGGAGGACCUGAUGGAUGCUAUCAUAGGGCUCAGUGGCAGCGGACCUCCCUAUGCGCUCGGGGCCCUGGAUGCGUUGGCUGAGAGUGGAGUGAACAUGGGCUUGCCAGGCGCCUGGCAGUCCGAUUAGGGGCCCAAGCCUUAUUGGGUGCUGCCAAGAUGCUGCUGGACUCAAAGCAGCAUCCAGGCCAGCUCAAGGGCAAUGUCUGCUCCCCUGGGAAGGGGGGGGGGGGCACCACCCAUGCCCUGCACUUUCUAGAGAGUGGGGGCUUCCACUCUCUGCUCAUCAAUGCAGUUGAGGCCUCCUGUAUCAGAACACAAGAGCUGCAGUCCGUGGCUGACCAAGAAAAGAUCUCCCCAGCUGCCCUUAAGAAGACCCUCCUGGACAGAGUAAAGCUAGAUUCUCCCACAGUUUCCACACUGCCCCUGCAACCCAGGGAAGCUUCUUACAAGAACCCCAGCCUGGGGAGGCAAGAAGAACUAA
Nycticebus coucang (slow loris) is the source of this 968-nucleotide RNA transcript. It is a transcript of the gene named pyrroline-5-carboxylate reductase 2-like, with no coding region annotated. Lineage: Eukaryota; Metazoa; Chordata; Mammalia; Primates; Lorisidae. The transcript has a single exon. The record is from RefSeq and is a predicted model, not a curated record.